This is a non-coding RNA of Anas platyrhynchos (mallard), 1866 nucleotides long. The record is from RefSeq and is a predicted model, not a curated record. Lineage: Eukaryota; Metazoa; Chordata; Aves; Anseriformes; Anatidae.
CCCAUCAACAAGAGACAGAAGGAGAACUACCGAUGAAGUACCUCUCUAAGACUCAUAUUUCCCCAAAAGGGACUGCUAUUGUAAUUGCCCCCUGUAAACUGCCCUGUCCUGGGGAGUCUGAAGGCCUGCAAGCAGUCUCCAGUCUAAAAGAAAAGGAAAGAAAACCAAACAAAACACUUUCAUCUUCAGGUAGGCUCUAUCAGUAUGGAACCGGAGAGUCAUAUAAUGACAGCCUACGCGUUUUCACUUUAGGGAAGAAAGUGUUUUACAGCAUAAAAGAAAUUGCUGCAGUGACCCAGGGGAGCUGCCAAUGUUUCCUGGAUGAGGACAAUUAACCAAAACAAUAUCAUUAAUUUUGCCACAGGUUUUAAAUGAUCUAGAAAGCAGAAUACAAACUUUGUCUUAAUAGACUCAAGUUAGACUCUGCAACAGAAGGAAAUUUCAGUAAAAUUCUGCAGCAGCCAAGGCUGUGAAUGAGAAACCAACACACUUGCAGGAAUAGAUAUGCACGAAUCUUAACAAUGCAACUGAGCUUCUGUUAUCUGGGUUCAGAAGGGACUAGCCUAGACCAGCACUGCUAUGUGCUCCACCUGGUACAUGCAUCCACCUGGUGUCACAGCUUGAAUCCUGGAGAUCUGACAACAGUAAUCACCUGCACAGUGCCUUUACCUCCUACAAGGGUCUCCUGACAUACAGAUUUGCAUCACAACAGGCAUUUCCCUAAGUAAAUAUUAGCUCCACUUCACAGAUAAGGAAACAGAGGUCCAUGACUUAUUCCUGCUUAUACACCAGUCUCCAGGAAUGGCCCCUGCUGAAAUUUCAUUACCACCUAACUGUGCUUACAGUGAUUUUAGAAAUUAGCAGCUUUGUGAGCCCCUUAGCCUUGAAAGUUUGAAAUCCACGAGAAGACAGGAGCUAGAUAAAGAAGGCAGAACCAACAGGGAGAACUGGAAAAAUUCCCUGCGCUUUGGUUGACUCCAGGCAAUGCCUUGCUCAGCCCCGCUGCUCCAUAGGUACGGGCAGGGCUCUUCCUCAGGAGAACAGCCCUUGGCUACCUGUAGUGACAAGGCCUGUAGCAUUCAGGCUGGCAGCACUCCAGCCUGUGCGAUAGAGGCUGUGGUAUACACAGAUCCUAGCUAGUUAUAAUUGCAGUGCUUUAGUCAAAUACUUGUGCCAGGGUAUUGUUUCCUGUCAGUGCCGUUUGCCAGAGGAGCAUGAGGUUGUGAAGGAUGCAUUAACUCCACCUGAGAGCAUGCCAGACAGCUGAAGAGCCACAGCAACAAGAUACCACUUUCUAAGAGAUUUUUUUUUAUUUUUUUUUUAAUUUUUAAUUUUUUGUCAGGAGUGGUUCUUCUUUCUCUUUUAACUAGAUGUCAGGGACCAAUUAAAGUAAUGAGCCUCACAAAGUAUCUCCCUUGGCUAACAACAGCCUGUAUUAAUGUUUGCAGAAGUGCAGGGCCAUAAGCUUUCUUGUUAGAUGUUAGCACUUAGCAACAUGAUUCAACAUUCUGAGAACUUCUCCAUCUAUUAGACUAGUGCCUUUGUCAAGUAUAACUCACCCACCUGUAUCCCAUGUUUGGGAUACAAUCCCCCUGAUUGUAUCCCACUGCUCCGGGAUGUGAGCACCCAAGCAGUACAGCUGUUACUGCCCAAGGCCCCAUUUCUGAUAGAAGAGCCAUGGAAUCACAACCAGGCAGUUUCUCUUACAUGAACAGAGCCUAAUUUGCAAUCAUCUCAUUUUAAUGUUUUUGUUUGCACUUUAGACAUAUGUGAUUUUUUUUUUUCCAAUGGAGGGGGGGGGUUAAGAUAAUAGCAUCCCUUCAAGUUUGAUCUCUCUCAACCUGCUAAAUCAGUUUUAGAAAGGAA